UGAGUGGCGGACGGGUGAGUAACGCGUGGGCAACCUGCCCUGUACAGGGGGACAACACUUAGAAAUAGGUGCUAAUACCGCAUAACGGGGGAGCCGCAUGGCACCCCCUGAAAACUCCGGUGGUACAGGAUGGGCCCGCGUCUGAUUAGCUGGUUGGCAGGGUAACGGCCUACUAAGGCGACGAUCAGUAGCCGGCCUGAGAGGGCGGACGGCCACACUGGGACUGAGACACGGCCCAGACUCCUACGGGAGGCAGCAG
Molecule: ribosomal RNA, 259 nt
Filed under: uncultured bacterium
Lineage: Bacteria
Description: partial 16S ribosomal RNA
Rfam family: Bacterial small subunit ribosomal RNA
Source: RNAcentral